GCAUGCUAAUACAUGCAAGUCGAACGAGAUCUUCGCGAUCUAGUGGCGCACGCGGUGCGUAACGCGUGGGAAUCUGCCCUUGGGUUCGGAAUAACUUCUGGAAACGGAAGCUAAUACCGGAUGAUGACGUAAGUCCAAAGAUUUAUCGCCCAAGGAUGAGCCCGCGUAGGAUUAGCUAGUUGGUGAGGUAAAGGCUCACCAAGGCGACGAUCCUUAGCCGGUCUGAGAGGAUGAUCAGCCACACUGGGACUGAGACACGGCCCAGACUCCUACGGGAGGCAGCAGUAGGGAAUAUUGGACAAUGGGCGAAAGCCUGAUCCAGCAAUGCCGCGUGAGUGAUGAAGGCCUUAGGGGUUGUAAAGCUCUUUUACCCGGGAUGAUAAUGACAGUACCGGGAGAAUAAGCUCCGGCUAACUCCGUACAGCAGCCGUCGGUAAUACGGAGGGAGCUAGCGUUUGU
This 459-nucleotide ribosomal RNA is filed under the name uncultured eubacterium WJGRT-29. Its description in RNAcentral is "bacterial SSU rRNA". It matches the Rfam family "Bacterial small subunit ribosomal RNA", at positions 42 to 542 of the family's 1533-position model. The record is from RNAcentral.